Molecule: ribosomal RNA, 468 nt
Filed under: uncultured bacterium
Lineage: Bacteria
Description: partial 16S ribosomal RNA
Rfam family: Bacterial small subunit ribosomal RNA
Source: RNAcentral
GACGAACGCUGGCGGCGUGCUUAACACAUGCAAGUCGAACGGAAAGGCCCUGCUUUUGUGGGGUGCUCGAGUGGCGAACGGGUGAGUAACACGUGAGUAACCUGCCCUUGACUUUGGGAUAACUUCAGGAAACUGGGGCUAAUACCGGAUAGGAGCUCCUGCUGCAUGGUGGGGGUUGGAAAGUUUCGGCGGUUGGGGAUGGACUCGCGGCUUAUCAGCUUGUUGGUGGGGUAGUGGCUUACCAAGGCUUUGACGGGUAGCCGGCCUGAGAGGGUGACCGGCCACAUUGGGACUGAGAUACGGCCCAGACUCCUACGGGAGGCAGCAGUGGGGAAUAUUGCACAAUGGGCGGAAGCCUGAUGCAGCAACGCCGCGUGCGGGAUGACGGCCUUCGUGUUGUAAACCGCUUUCGCCUGUGAUGAAGCGUGAGUGACGGUAAUGGGUAAAGAAGCACCGGCUAACUACGUG